UGAUCCUGCCAGUAGUGAUAUGCUUGUUUCAAAGAUUAAGCCAUGCAAGUCUAAGUAUAAACAGCUAUACGGUGAAACUGCAGAUGGCUCAUUAAAACAGUUUGAAUUUAUUUGAUGGAUAACCAACUACAUGGAUACCCGUAGUAAUUCUAGAGCUAAUACAUGCAUGAAAGCCUUUGGGCUGUAUUUAUUGGAUACAAGAACCAAACCUUUCGGGGUUUUGUUUGUUGAUUCACAAUAACUUUUCGAAUCCUCACACCUGGGGAUAUGUCAUUCAACAUUCUGCCCUAUCAGCUUUCGAUGGUUAUGUAGUGGAUAACCAUGGCGUUAACGGGUAACGGAGAAUCAGGGUUCGAUUCCGGAGAGGGAGCCUGAGAAACGGCUACCACAUCUAAGGAAGGCAGCAGGCGCGCAAAUUACCCAAUCCUGACUCAGGGAGGUAGUGACAAAAAUAACAAUACCGGAUCUUUUUGGGUCUGGUAAUUGGAAUGAGAACAAGUUAAACUUUUAUCGAGGACCCAUUGGAGGGCAAGUC
This 535-nucleotide ribosomal RNA is filed under the name uncultured eukaryote. RNAcentral describes it as "SSU rRNA". It matches the Rfam family "Eukaryotic small subunit ribosomal RNA", at positions 9 to 561 of the family's 1831-position model. The record is from RNAcentral.